GAUUCUUGAUUUCAUUCGUGACCCUAGUUGCCUUUUUUCUUAACCUGAGUAAUGAGCAAGUCUUUAAAAGCCUUGCCUUUGUUAACAGAGAAAUGGAUUACACAAAUACUUUAGCAUAACUGCAGUUCUUUACCAACAAAAAGCAACCAUACAGAAGAUCCAACUUCCCUAAACACAACUGAAAAGAGAAGGCCCCCACUCGCUGCUUCCAAGCCCACCUCUACAGUCCACACCAGACGGUUUCCCCAUUUCCCAUCAGGUCCCAUUCACACUCUCCUCUGCUGCUUCGCACUGCCUGUAAUCCUUUGCCAGGCUCUCCCAGUUACCACAGCCGAUCCUGGAGAUGCUCUCCGGGUCACAAACCUCCUCAGCUCACUCUCCAUGUGACACCGUGCUUACAGAACAGGCAUUUUUUGUCCACUCCUGUCGCGUGAGGAGAGACUUACUACUACACUUUCUGUGUAGCUUGGAAGUGGGGUGCAGGCGUCGUCAUCGGCUGAAGCAGGUCUCCGACCAGCACAGAACACGGACGUUGCUCAGUGACCUGUGCAGCCCCCUGUGUACAUACAGGGAGUUAAAGAACGCUGUACUAAAGCACAGCAAAGGUGUAACAGCACAUUGAGGCAUUUUCUGCAUGGGGAAAUAGAUCAAUACAGCUACAGCAAAGUUAUUAUUACCACCACAGCUAUGCAAGUAAAACUCCCUCAAGUGUGAUUCUGUGACAGCCACGUCUAUCUCAGGUCAAGUGUGCAAAUGCAGAAGUUAAAACGCCCUAGCUAGAAUAUUUAUUGUGCUAUAAAGACCAAGCCCUAAAGAGGAGAUACCUGAAUAUAGCAGGGUGGGGAGGAAAAACCCCACACUUGUUUCCUUUCCUUUUAAUCGCAGCACAUUAGCCAAAUGCAAUAAACGGGACCCAAAAUUUAGGUGGGGAACAUGCUUUUGGAGGACGACUGCAAGCGGUUCCUCUAACACUUCAGGAGAUCAAACUCGACUUUCUGCACUGUUCUUCAAGCACAUGCAAACAUCAUGCAAAAAAUACACGCUUUGAGCGGUGCAGAAGAGGUGGUGCAGCUUGGAGAAGAACUAUAAAAAAGUCCUCACUUGUGUGUGGGAAGGCUUAGGGGAAUAUUUCAGCACAUCAGGAGCUGAAUCACUGCAUGUAGGUGGAGCCAGACAGAUUGACAAGAUCUGCAACUUGAAAAAUGACCUAAGUCUGAGAUCAAUCAUCUCAAAAGUAGCUGACUGAGGGAACAUAUGGAGACAGAUCAAGGUGACGAGGCUGAAUGUCAGCACGGCAGGGAAAAACUGCACUGGAUGCACAUGCAACUGACCGAGCAUUGUGCAACUCAAAGCACGGACAACUCUCGGCAUAACAGGCUGAGCGCUGUUUCCUUCUGUUGCCUUUCAGUGUCACCACAACUUUAUCUCAGACUCUUGUCUACUACAGCAGCACGUAAAAAAGGCACUCUGGGGGAAGCCAUUAGCAAACGUCUCUUUUUUAUGCAUUAGAUUAAUGAAGAAUCUGACUUUCAGGUAACGACUUCUGAAAAGUUGUAGAGCAGCCACUUGAUGCAAAACUAAGAAUUAAUUGUACAUCAGAUAAAAGCAUGAAAGCUUGGUGCAGUCUUGUUAUUUUUUCAAGUUUUACAGCCCUUCAGAUCACUGAAUCCCAGUAAGAUCUGCUCUAGAGGUUAACCCAGGAUAUUAAACUGGACUCAAAUUACAAACAAACCCAAGUAAUAACUUAUUAUUCAACUCCUUCAGAAACUUGGGAGCCGAUUCGUCAUAAGACCUGUAUUCUUCUACACAUGCAAACACACAGAUUUCUACAGCUAAGCAUUUCCUGACUUCUGCCACCGGAGACAAAGAAUUCAUGACGACAUUCAGUGCCCCACUAUUCCAAUUCUGCACGAGCUCAGAAUACUUCCGUUUGUGCCUCUGUAAGGACACUGUUCCCCGUGCUGUGGAAUGGAUUCUGACUGUGGGCAGGCAGGAGGCAGUACGCCACCUUCUCAGGUCUGUGUGUCUACUUACAGCAGGAGCUGAGAUGCACAACGCAGGUUUCAUUGAGUUUAUGCUCAGUGACAACAGCUAAGAAUAUGCACUCUGUUUGAUAGGGGAUAACUGGUAUCAUCCAAAGACUCGCAUGUGCAGCAAUCCCAAAUAAACAGGACUGACUUGAUAGU
Molecule: long non-coding RNA, 2186 nt
Organism: Oxyura jamaicensis (ruddy duck)
Lineage: Eukaryota; Metazoa; Chordata; Aves; Anseriformes; Anatidae
Exons: 2
Source: RefSeq, a predicted model, not a curated record